RNAcentral lists this long non-coding RNA (2444 nucleotides) under Ananas comosus (pineapple). RNAcentral describes it as "long non-coding RNA (ACOM_LNC007775)". The record is from RNAcentral. Lineage: Eukaryota; Viridiplantae; Streptophyta; Magnoliopsida; Poales; Bromeliaceae.
GCAUGACAUCUAUGUACAUUAUUCUUUUCUGGUAGCAUUUGGUUCGGAUAUAAAUAAGAACUAAUUAUUACAAAAAUAGAUACAAAUAUGGGAUAAAAAAAAUAGUGUUUGGAUGAAAAUAAUGUUUAAAUAGAUAAUAUGGAAUAAGAAAAAUAAUGGAUAGUUAUAUGUAGAAAAUGGAGGUGUUGGUGACUUGGUAGGGAUAGUUAUAUCAGAUUAUUUUAGAUAAUCGAGAAUUACUAUUCUUGGAUAAAAAAUUUGUGUUUGGGUAUAAAGGGAGGGAUAAGGGGUUAUCGCUCCACUUAUUCCUAAUCCAAACAUUGCCUCUAAAUUUACUAUAUGAUAAAAAAAAAAUUUAUUAUUGAUUAUGAGUUAAUUUCACCCUAAACCAACUUAAAUUUUCUACAUUUUUUUUUAUUUACUUGAACAAAAUCAAAAUUUUCUUUUUUUCGAUUGAAUCGAACUGAAUUUUUCUCGUUUUUUGCUUGAACCGAACCAAUCAUUAUUGAGUGUGGGAUUCUCAAACCGGCUCAAGUCCUCCGCAUGUUAAUAAUCUCUUUCUUUGCUUAAACCAAACCGGAUUUUUCUCAUUUCUUGUUUAAACUAAACCGAAUCACAUCUCUACAUUAGACCGAGCUGUUCCUCUUCCACUUUUUUUUGGUUGUUACCUUCCUUCAUCGGUAAGAUGAAUCCCAUCUCUUAUCAUUGUUGCUUUUAUCGUUAUUAUCUCUUUCUUUGUUGUUGUUUUUUAUUUUUUUCUCUUAUUAUCUAUCUGUUUUAUCGCACGAAUUAUUACACUCGUAUAUACACUAUUUCAGCAGCUUAAUUAUAUCUCCACUAUAUAUCUAAUAAUAUGCUAAAUUAUAGAAAAUUUUUUUAUAAAUAUUGAUUUUUUUUUCUAACUUUCAAAAGCCUAUAUUUUACCCUCUGAACAUUUCAAGUUGUUAUAUUUAGUCCCCCCUUUAUCAGAAUUCCAUCACUAUUCCGUUAAUUUCUUAUAAUUUAUACUGAAAAUACUCUUCAAAAUAAUAGAAAUAUAUUAAAAAUUUAAUUUUUCUUAUAAAAGAUGUAAGAACAAUUUAAUUAUUUUACCCUCUCCAUUAAUGUCAUACUUUUCUAAAAAUAUUUUUAAAAUUUUAAAAAAGUAAAAUAUAGAUUUUUGAAAGUUAGAGAGAAAAAAAAAAAAAGAAUUAUAGAGGGUUUUUUUUGUAAUUUAGUCCUAAUAAUAUCAUAAUAGAGUAACCCACCAUACUAGGGCCUAUAUAAUAUAUUUAUUUUAAAAGUACGUUUGAAAUAAAUUAUAGUAAAAUUUUUUAUAUGUCUUUGGCGACUAAAAUUUAUAAUAUUUUAAAUUUUACUAUACCAUAAAUAGAGUUUUUUAUAUAAUUUUUAAAAAGUUGGGAGAGUCAGGGCCGCUGCGAGAUUUUAAGUUCGAAGUCUAACUACUUCACAUUUCUACUUAAUUUUAUUUCUAUAUUUAAAAAAAAAUAAACAAAGUGGGUAGUUAGCUAUAUUUUUCUAAAAAAUUAUAUUGUGAAAGAGUAAUGUUAUACCUGUAUUCGAAUUUUAAAAUAUUUUACCGAUAUGUUUAUAUGAAAGAUUUUAAUUAGAUGAUUGACAAAAUUUGCAGAAAGAUGUUGAAUAUAAAUAUUUAGAAACAUAAUUCUCUAAAAAUUUAAGCUUUUGGAGAAUUAUGAUUAUUUUUUAUUUUCUAUCAUGAUAUCAAAGCAUUUUGUCUUGAACUCAGACGUGAGAAAAAGCUAGCGUUGACUAUAAAAGUAUUUAAAAAAUAUUAUUGUCUAAAAAGCUUAAAUUUUUAGAGGACUAUAUCUGUUUCACAUUCUUUAAUAUAGAAUAGUGGUUUAAAUUCUGAUGCGGACACUCUUUUUCGAAUUUUUUUGCAACCAUGACCGUGAAAAGCUCUUUUUCUUUUUUUGUGAUUUGUGGCUAGAAAGAUCUGUAGAGUUACGAGAAAAAACGAUAAAAAAAUAUUUUAGUUGCUUCUAUAAAUAAUAUAUAUUAUAAAUCACACAAAAAAAAUCCAAACCUUUUAGGUAAAAAAAAGGUAAAAAAAACAAAACUUAUCUAGACUAUGAAUUAUUUUGAAUCGACUAUGUAAUUUUUUAAAAUUUUGAUUUUAUCAUCCAACCUUUUAAUUUGUUUGAUUUAAGUCGAUCAAAAAUGCAUUGACUUUAAAAUUUAAGCUAAUUAUUUGCUGUAAUGAAUUUAUAAUUACGAAAAUUAUAUAAAGCAUACUAACUAAACCUAAAAAAAUAAACAAUACUUUCAGAAUUUAAAAUCAAGGUAUAUAUCGCCAAUCGACUCAAACCAAACAAAUUAAAAAAUUAGAUAGUAAAUUUUUGAAAGAUUACAUAACUGAUUCAAAAUGAUCAAUAAUUCACAUAAGUUAUGUAGAUUUUUACCAACUUUUUUUCUACCUAAAA